CCUACGGGACGCAGCAGUGAGGAAUAUUGGUCAAUGGACGAGAGUCUGAACCAGCCAAGUAGCGUGAAGGAUGACUGCCCUAUGGGUUGUAAACUUCUUUUAUAUGGGAAUAAAACGUUCCACGUGUGGGAUUUUGUAUGUACCAUAUGAAUAAGGAUCGGCUAACUCCGUGCCAGCAGCCGCGGUAAUACGGAGGAUCCGAGCGUUAUCCGGAUUUAUUGGGUUUAAAGGGUGCGUAGGCGGAUUUUUAAGUCAGCGGUAAAAUGUCCGGGCUCAACCCGGGCCGGCCGUUGAAACUGGGGAUC
RNAcentral lists this ribosomal RNA (305 nucleotides) under uncultured bacterium. RNAcentral describes it as "bacterial SSU rRNA". It matches the Rfam family "Bacterial small subunit ribosomal RNA", at positions 338 to 641 of the family's 1533-position model. The record is from RNAcentral.